This 5649-nucleotide long non-coding RNA is filed under the name Nicotiana tabacum (common tobacco). RNAcentral's name for it is "long non-coding RNA (NTAB_LNC005057)". Lineage: Eukaryota; Viridiplantae; Streptophyta; Magnoliopsida; Solanales; Solanaceae. The record is from RNAcentral.
UUUGGGGAAUUUGUAGAACUUAUACAGACGGGAAGAAUAAGAAAUGAACAGCACCAGUUUGGCUGCUAUGUGACUUUUUAUUUAUUGUUAUCACUGGUUAUGGAAUUCUUGACCAAAGGGAAUGCCUUGAUAGCUCAAGUGAUUAGAGAACCAAAAGAAGAAAGGAGGAACUACGAGGAGUUUCGACUAUUGUAUUACAAUGAAUUACGAGGUAUUAGCACGUUUCUUUUACCUUAUGAUAAUUAUUUUUGUGAACAGUUUAUCAUGACUGACGUUUUAUACUUGUGAGGCCUUAGGAAUAUAAAUAUAAUUUAAUAAAGAAAACCUUGCCCUUUAAUUAUGAAAAAAAAAACUUCUCAAGAUGGCAUUCUGGAAUUCAAUUUCAGAACUUUGUAUAUGAAAUUAGUUUCUGACCUUUGCACACAUAUGUUGAAUUUGUACGAUAAAUUAUGAGCUUUACAACUCUAACUAUAGAUAUCUGUGUAUUGAUGAAUUAGAAUGAUGGGUUAUGAUUUCUAUCUUUUUAAUAAUUGUGCAAUGAUUGAACACAUGAAGAGUAAUGGUUGAUGAGCUUUCAAAAUUAGGUGCAAGGUUAGAAUGAGAAUUCGUCCAUAACGUGCAUCUAAGACCUAUUUGGACGUCUGUUUCGUACUGUAUGGUUAUUGAAGUUUAAAUUGUGAUAUUAGGAUAGUUUUAUCAUUUAAGUUUAUGACCUAGGUGUAAAUGUCGAGACUUAGCUUUGAGCUGCAAUUAAGAAAAUUAUGAAAUGAUCCCAACUAAUACAGUUGACAUUGUUUAUCAAUAUUUUGUAUAGAUUGAGGUUAUUGGAGGUCAUUUGGCCGGUGUUCUAGAUGUUGCAAGGUUGAGGAAAUUGUCAUUAAUGAGGUAAGUGAGACUUUAAGCUUUGAUGCUUGCUUUUUUAAAACCCGUUUUGAAAAUGUGUUUUAUCUGCCUGGUUAUGUGCUGAAAAUAGAUAAGCCAUACAUUACGUUUGAGUACUUAAAAUAAAAUGAUAUGACUAUCCUCGGGAAAAGAAAUUAGUUUGUGCGACUCUAUUGACACAUAAAGUUGUGUUUGGUAAAGCAUAAAUUUGAAGAACAUGAGCAACAAUAAUGAGAUGACAUUGUAUAUAUAAGAAUAAAGAUAGGGCUUGAGUAAUCAGAUGUACCAAUUGUGGUUCUGAAUCGAGGGGUUAGAAUUGUGUUGUUUAGACAUGUUAGAAUUAUUGGAUAGCUCUAGUUACAAGGAAACUAUGUCGGAUAUUUUGAUAGUAAGCCAAAUUUUAAAGUCUUAAGAGCAAAGUAGAAGUGAUACAAGUCCAAAGGUUUUUCUCUUACGUCAGAUAUGAUUUAGAGUCAAAUGUGUGUAAACAUGUGGCAGGUGACUUGUAAAGAUUUGUUAAGAUAAAAUUUUGUUUCCCUCUAAAUUUAGCAUGUUUGAGAUCCAAAAAUAUGCAUUAUGAUCAGAGAACGAGAUCUAUAAAUUUGUUCCUCAAUAUUUGAACUGUUCAUUGUUAAAUGUGAGUGUUAGAGGGUUGAAAAGUUUUCGCGAACAUGGUUUAUUUCAAGAGAAAUUGGAAAUGGACCAUUGUAGACUUUGUGGUUAGUCUACACGUUCAUUGAGUAAAUUGUGGUCCUAGUUAGGCUCAUCAAGAUAUAGAGCCUAGUUGAGUUAGAAUUUCUUAGAUAAUAUACUAGCCUAUGGAGCGAUAUAUUCAGUAGAUAGUGAAAUGGCAUAGGUGUCUGUAUUUUCAUGUGUGACAAAGGUAACAAAUUAUGGAAUAUUCACGUAGGGGUAUAUGAAUAUGCUUUAGUGCCGCUGUAUAUGAGAGUAUUUGGUAGGGGCGUAUGGAUGUGUUCCAGCGCUACCAUACAUAAGAGCGCUAUUUGAUAGUGUUCAAAUAUGUUUCAAAACUACUUUAUGUAAAAAAAAAAAAUAUGAAUGUAUUCCAUUGUAGGACCAUGGUUGUGGCUAUUGUUUGUGGUCGAGCUAAGUAAAUGUAAGAGGGUAUGGAUAUCCAGUCCCAUUACUAGCUGGAUAGGUAUUGUAUAACGUGUGGCUCAUGAUCAGUUGUUUUUAACCGAGUACAUGAUGAUAGUAGUUUACUAACUCGAUAUUCAGAUCUUGUCAUUUUAGGCUUGAUGUGGGUGCCAGUGUUUUGCUCUACGUGGUUAGUUGAAUAUGGUAAGUCACAAUUGUUUGGUCCAAAUUUGAUUAGCAACGCAUGAAAGAUGUUGCAUUGAGCACUGGGGUGGUUUCAAUUAUUGCAGAGUAGACAUAACUCCUAUGUUGACAAACAGAGGCGGAUCCACGUGGAGGGGCAUGUGUCACGUGCACCCAUGCUCCCCUCCUUGGGUUGUAUAUCACAGGGAUGUUUUUCGGAUAAAGUAUUUAAUUUUUUGCGUGGGAACCCAUGGUCAAAAGAGCAUUUGGUGUAGUGGUAGCUUUGUGCGUCAUUGACCCCUAGGUCCAGUGUUCAAAUCUCGCUUCUAUAUUUUCCAUCUCGUAUCCAUUUUUCUUUUCCUUUUCUAUUUCUCUUUUUCGUUCUUUUCUUUUUUGUUCUGUUCAAAUUUCAUGCCCUAUCUUUCUUUUCUUUUCUUUUUUUCCCAUACAAUUCUUAUGUUUUUGGGUUCACCCUUUGAUAUAUCCUUGAAUUAAAUUUUCAUUUUUAUUGGAUUCUUUUCUGUGUUUUCUUCAUUCUAUUUUUUAGUUCAAUUAUUGAGUUUCAAAAACUAUAAAAAAUAAAAUUUAAAUCAUUUUAAAUCUUUUCAAUUUCAAGUUUCCUCUUUUUUCAUUUACCACUCUCUUUUUGAUUAGUUAUUUAAUUUUAAUAUAUUGAGCUUUAGUACUUGUAACUAUAAAUAAUGAUGCUAUUAUUGAUAGUUUUCCAAGGUAAGUUUUAGAGAACCAAAUCAAACGGUGGUCGGAUAGUGAUGCACCCAUCCUUCUGAAAUCCUGGAUCCGCCUCUGUUGAUAAAUAAGAUCAUAAAUUGGAGUUCAUGAAAUGUGAAAAGUUUUUAAGAACAUUUUCACUAGAAAGGAGUUACGUGCUUUUGGAUCAGAUUGGAUUAGUGGCGUAUAAAUUUAUUUUGCCUUGGGGACAUUGAGUUGUACACCUUAUAUUUUAUGCGUUCAUGAUGAGACUCAUAUGAUUCAGCUAAAGAUCUGGAACUAGGUGAAAAUUUGACAUAAGAACGAGGUCCCAUAACUAUUAUUGAUAGAUAAGUACGGUAGUUGAUGAGGUUGAAGAAGGUUGCUUAAGUGAGAGUGUUAUCCUGAACAUUCGAUAGAGAAAGCUAUACAUGAGUGUGAGGGAGAUACAUGCAGUAGUUGUUUGAGUUGCCAGGUACACUUUUUAACUCGUUCGAGGACGAACGUUUAUUUUAAGUGGGGGAGAAUGUAAUAACCAAAUAUUUUAAGAAUGAACUUUUAAGUUAAUUCUUUAAUUAUAAUUCCUUAGUUAUUAUAUGGACAAUAAUAAAUAUUUAUUUUACAUAUAAGUGCAUAGAUAUGUUUAUAAUUAAAAUUAAUAUUUAGGUAUUGAGGAAUAUGAAGAAUAUUAUUUGAAAUAUAUAUUUGAAUAGCAUGGCUUAGUUUACAAUGGUACAUAUUAGUUGAGUAAUAAAGUGAUUCUAUAAAAUAAAAAUAAAAAAAUAUAGUGAGUGCAUAAUGGGCUAGGCCCACAGCUUCUUUCGUUGGUCACAAUUAAAGACCUAGGUGUAAGAGUCUAGCUGACCAUUUUGGAAAUUUGUAGAACUUAUACAGACGGGAAGAAUAAGAAGUGAACGGCGCCAGUUUGGCUGCUAUGUGACUUUUUAUUUAUUGUUGUCGCUGGUUAAUGGAAUUCUUGACCAAAGAGAAUGCCUUGAUAGCUCAAGUGAUUAGAGAACCAAAAGAAGAAAGGAGGAACUACGAGGAGUUUCGACUAUUUUAUUACAAUGAAUUACGAGGUAUUAGCAUGUUUCUUUUACCUUAUGAUAAUUAUUUUUGGGAACAGUUGGUCAUGGCUGACAUUUUAUACUUGUGAGGCCUUAGGAAUAGAAAUAUAAUUUAAUAAAGAAAACCUUGCCCUUUAAUUAUGAAAAAAAACUUCUCAAGAUGGCAUUCCUGGAAUUCAAUUUCAGAACUUUGUAUAUGAAAUUAGUUUCUGACCUUUGCACACAUAUGUUGAAUUUGUACGAUAAAAUAUGAGCUUUACAACUCUAACUAUAGAUAUCUGUGUAUUGAUGAAUUAGAGUGAUGGGUUAUGAUUUCUAUCUUUUUAAUAAUUGUGCAAUGAUUGAACACAUGAAGAGUAAUGGUUGAUGAGAUUUCAAAAUUAGGUGCAAGGUUGGAAUGAGAAUCCGUCCAUAACGUGCAUCUAAGACCUAUUUGGACGUCUGUUUCGUACUGUAUGGUUAUUGAAGUUUAAAUUGUGAUAUUAGGAUAGUUUUAUCCUUUAAGUUUAUGACCUAGGUGUAAAAUGUCGAGACUUAGCUUUGAGCUGCAAUUAAGAAAAUUAUGAAAUGAUCCCAACUAAUACAGUUGACAUUGUUUAUCAGUAUUUUGUAUAGAUUGAGGUUAUUGGAUGUCAUUUGGCUGAUGUUCUAGAUGUUGCAAGGUUGAGGAAAUUAUCAUUAAUGAGGUAAGUGAGACUUUAAGCUUUAAUACUUGCUUUCCUAAAACCCAUUUUAAAAAUGUGUUUUCUCUGUCUGGUCCAUGUGUUGGGACAAGCGUGCGCUUGGAAGAGUCAGUGGUCUUAGACUAGCCGCAAAUAUAUUAUUUUAUGGAAAAAAAAUAUUAUUUUAUAAGUUGUUUGAUAGUGUGAUACGGCUGUGCGCCAUGAUAAUUAAGUUUGAUACGGCUGUGCGCCAUGAUAUUAAGUUUGAUACGGCUGUCCGCCAUGAUGUUGAGUUUGAUACGGUUGUGCGCCAUUAUGUUGAGUUUCAUACGGCCGUGCGCCAUGAUGAUGAGUUUCAUACGGCUGUGCGCCAUGAUGUUGGGGCAUUGUGUAUACCUUUGUACAUCACCCCAAGCAUUGUGUAUGCUCUGUUACAUAUUUGAGGCAUUGUGGUGCCAUUGUGGACUCGUAAGUGCGUUGGUAAAUUUUUUUCGCUGCCAUUAUGAUAAGUCCUUAGUGGGUAUUCUUGUUGGUUAAUUCUUAAUAACUCUAUUGAUACACAUAUUGAGUUAUUGUAUAAUUAUCAUAUUUACUAUAUUAUUCGUGUUGCAGUGUGUUUGUAUUUUCACACACUUGUUCCAGAGGUAUUUAAAGUGACGGGUCGAGGAUCUUACUGGGUUAUAUUUACAUAUAACUCACUCCUUAACUGCAUCUCUAUACAGAUACCGUUGCGGGAGAUAGAGCUAGUGGCUGAAGAGUUUGUUCGAGUGGAUCCUAUUGCUGAGGUGAGCCAGCGCAUUGUUCGUGGAGGCUUUCGUUUCAGACUUACCUCGUGUUAGUUUUUUUUUUCUCUUUGGGGUUUGCAAACCCGUCAAUAAACCUCAUAUUACUCUGUUAGAUGCUCCAUGGUCUUAGUGUGGGAUUUCGGCUAGAGUUUUAUUAAUUGAGUGAUUGUUGGUUUUUCUAUCAAUUGACUAAGGUAUUGGCGAUAAUUGUUUCCUCUUUAAUUAUUAAUAAUACUAUUAGGUCUGUAUUUCUUUUUCUCCCAG